This 187-nucleotide ribosomal RNA is filed under the name uncultured bacterium. Its description in RNAcentral is "partial 16S ribosomal RNA". It matches the Rfam family "Bacterial small subunit ribosomal RNA", at positions 339 to 518 of the family's 1533-position model. The record is from RNAcentral.
CUACGGGAGGCAGCAGCUAAGAAUAUUCCGCAAUGGACGAAAGUCUGACGGAGCGACGCCGCGUGGAUGAAGAAGGUCGGAAGAUUGUAAAAUCCUUUUACUGUAGAGGAAUAAGCGAUAUAGGGAAUGAUAUCGUGGUGACUGUAAGCAGAGAAUAAGAGGCGGCUAAUUACGUGCCAGCAGCCGC